Molecule: ribosomal RNA, 2916 nt
Filed under: Klebsiella pneumoniae
Lineage: Bacteria; Pseudomonadati; Pseudomonadota; Gammaproteobacteria; Enterobacterales; Enterobacteriaceae
Description: 23S ribosomal RNA
Rfam family: Bacterial large subunit ribosomal RNA
Source: RNAcentral
GGGUUGUGAGGUUAAGCGACUAAGCGUACACGGUGGAUGCCCUGGCAGUCAGAGGCGAUGAAGGACGUGCUAAUCUGCGAAAAGCGUCGGUAAGGUGAUAUGAACCGUUAUAACCGGCGAUGUCCGAAUGGGGAAACCCAGUGCAAUUCGUUGCACUAUCGUUAACUGAAUACAUAGGUUAACGAGGCGAACCGGGGGAACUGAAACAUCUAAGUACCCCGAGGAAAAGAAAUCAACCGAGAUUCCCCCAGUAGCGGCGAGCGAACGGGGAGCAGCCCAGAGUCUGAAUCAGCUUGUGUGUUAGUGGAACGGUCUGGAAAGUCCGACGGUACAGGGUGAUAGUCCCGUACACCAAAAUGCACAGGUUGUGAACUCGAAGAGUAGGGCGGGACACGUGGUAUCCUGUCUGAAUAUGGGGGGACCAUCCUCCAAGGCUAAAUACUCCUGACUGACCGAUAGUGAACCAGUACCGUGAGGGAAAGGCGAAAAGAACCCCGGCGAGGGAGUGAAAAGAACCUGAAACCGUGUACGUACAAGCAGUGGGAGCACCUUCGGGUGUGACUGCGUACCUUUUGUAUAAUGGGUCAGCGACUUAUAUUCUGUAGCAAGGUUAACCGUAUAGGGAGCCGCAGGGAAACCGAGUCUUAACUGGGCGUUAAGUUGCAGGGUAUAGACCCGAAACCCGGUGAUCUAGCCAUGGGCAGGUUGAAGGUUGGGUAACACUAACUGGAGGACCGAACCGACUAAUGUUGAAAAAUUAGCGGAUGACUUGUGGCUGGGGGUGAAAGGCCAAUCAAACCGGGAGAUAGCUGGUUCUCCCCGAAAGCUAUUUAGGUAGCGCCUCGUGAAUUCAUCUUCGGGGGUAGAGCACUGUUUCGGCUAGGGUCAUCCCGACUUACCAACCCGAUGCAAACUACGAAUACCGAAGAAUGUUAUCACGGGAGACACACGGCGGGUGCUAACGUCCGUCGUGAAGAGGGAAACAACCCAGACCGCCAGCUAAGGUCCCAAAGUCAUGGUUAAGUGGGAAACGAUGUGGGAAGGCACAGACAGCCAGGAUGUUGGCUUAGAAGCAGCCAUCAUUUAAAGAAAGCGUAAUAGCUCACUGGUCGAGUCGGCCUGCGCGGAAGAUGUAACGGGGCUAAACCAUGCACCGAAGCUGCGGCAGCGACACUAUGUGUUGUUGGGUAGGGGAGCGUUCUGUAAGCCUGCGAAGGUGACCUGUGAGGGUUGCUGGAGGUAUCAGAAGUGCGAAUGCUGACAUAAGUAACGAUAAAGCGGGUGAAAAGCCCGCUCGCCGGAAGACCAAGGGUUCCUGUCCAACGUUAAUCGGGGCAGGGUGAGUCGACCCCUAAGGCGAGGCCGAAAGGCGUAGUCGAUGGGAAACAGGUUAAUAUUCCUGUACUUGGUGUUACUGCGAAGGGGGGACGGAGAAGGCUAUGUUAGCCGGGCGACGGUUGUCCCGGUUUAAGCAUGUAGGCUGAUUGUCCAGGCAAAUCCGGAUAAUCAAGGCUGAGGUGUGAUGACGAGGCACUACGGUGCUGAAGUAACAAAUGCCCUGCUUCCGUGAAAGCCUCUAAGCAUCAGGUAACAUCAAAUCGUACCCCAAACCGACACAGGUGGUCAGGUAGAGAAUACCAAGGCGCUUGAGAGAACUCGGGUGAAGGAACUAGGCAAAAUGGUGCCGUAACUUCGGGAGAAGGCACGCUGGUGUGUAGGUGAAGCCCCUGCGGGUGGAGCUGAGACCAGUCGAAGAUACCAGCUGGCUGCAACUGUUUAUUAAAAACACAGCACUGUGCAAACACGAAAGUGGACGUAUACGGUGUGACGCCUGCCCGGUGCCGGAAGGUUAAUUGAUGGGGUUAUCCGUAAGGAGAAGCUCUUGAUCGAAGCCCCGGUAAACGGCGGCCGUAACUAUAACGGUCCUAAGGUAGCGAAAUUCCUUGUCGGGUAAGUUCCGACCUGCACGAAUGGCGUAAUGAUGGCCAGGCUGUCUCCACCCGAGACUCAGUGAAAUUGAACUCGCUGUGAAGAUGCAGUGUACCCGCGGCAAGACGGAAAGACCCCGUGAACCUUUACUAUAGCUUGACACUGAACAUUGAGCCUUGAUGUGUAGGAUAGGUGGGAGGCUUUGAAGCGUGGACGCCAGUCUGCGUGGAGCCAACCUUGAAAUACCACCCUUUAAUGUUUGAUGUUCUAACGUUGGCCCUUACCGGGGUUGCGGACAGUGUCUGGUGGGUAGUUUGACUGGGGCGGUCUCCUCCCAAAGCGUAACGGAGGAGCACGAAGGUUAGCUAAUCCUGGUCGGACAUCAGGAGGUUAGUGCAAUGGCAUAAGCUAGCUUGACUGCGAGCGUGACGGCGCGAGCAGGUGCGAAAGCAGGUCAUAGUGAUCCGGUGGUUCUGAAUGGAAGGGCCAUCGCUCAACGGAUAAAAGGUACUCCGGGGAUAACAGGCUGAUACCGCCCAAGAGUUCAUAUCGACGGCGGUGUUUGGCACCUCGAUGUCGGCUCAUCACAUCCUGGGGCUGAAGUAGGUCCCAAGGGUAUGGCUGUUCGCCAUUUAAAGUGGUACGCGAGCUGGGUUUAGAACGUCGUGAGACAGUUCGGUCCCUAUCUGCCGUGGGCGCUGGAGAAUUGAGGGGGGCUGCUCCUAGUACGAGAGGACCGGAGUGGACGCAUCACUGGUGUUCGGGUUGUCAUGCCAAUGGCACUGCCCGGUAGCUAAAUGCGGAAGAGAUAAGUGCUGAAAGCAUCUAAGCACGAAACUUGCCCCGAGAUGAGUUCUCCCUGAGACUUUAAGUCUCCUGAAGGAACGUUAAAGACGAUGACGUUGAUAGGCCGGGUGUGUAAGCGCAGCGAUGCGUUGAGCUAACCGGUACUAAUGAACCGUGAGGCUUAACCUUACAACGCCGAAG